Molecule: ribosomal RNA, 361 nt
Filed under: Salmonella enterica
Lineage: Bacteria; Pseudomonadati; Pseudomonadota; Gammaproteobacteria; Enterobacterales; Enterobacteriaceae
Description: bacterial SSU rRNA
Source: RNAcentral
GUGGGGAUGACGUCAAGUCAUCAUGGCCCUUACGACCAGGGCUACACACGUGCUACAAUGGCGCAUACAAAGAGAAGCGACCUCGCGAGAGCAAGCGGACCUCAUAAAGUGCGUCGUAGUCCGGAUUGGAGUCUGCAACUCGACUCCAUGAAGUCGGAAUCGCUAGUAAUCGUGGAUCAGAAUGCCACGGUGAAUACGUUCCCGGGCCUUGUACACACCGCCCGUCACACCAUGGGAGUGGSUUGCAAAAGAAGUAGGUAGCUUAACCUUCGGGAGGGCGCUUACCACUUUGUGAUUCAUGACUGGGGUGAAGUCGUAACAAGGUAACCGUAGGGGAACCUGCGGUUGGAUCACCUCCUUA